UUGUAAGGAGAAGUUAGAAAGGGCACACGGUGGAUGCCUUGGCGCCAGGAGCCGAAGAAGGACGGGGCGAACACCGAUAUGCCUCGGGGAGCCGUAAGCAGGCGUCGAUCCGGGGAUUUCCGAAUGGGGCAACCCGCCAGCGUCAACCGCUGGCACUUCCACCUGAACCCAUAGGGUGGAUAGAGGCAGACCGGGGGAACUGAAACAUCUUAGUACCCCGAGGAGAAGAAAGCAACCGCGAUUCCCUGAGUAGCGGCGAGCGAAACGGGAUUAGCCCAAACCGCAAGGGGUUUCCCUUGCGGGGUUGUGGGGCGUCCGAUAUGGAGUGAGAAAAGCAGAAGGUAGGCAAAGUGGCCUGGAACGGCCCGCCAUAGAGGGUAACAGCCCCGUAGCCGAAACCUUCCGCUCUCCCGGACGGACCCCGAGUACCGCGGAACACGUGAAAUUCCGUGGGAAUCCGGGAGGACCACCUCCCAAGGCUAAAUACUCCCUGGCGACCGAUAGUGAACCAGUACCGUGAGGGAAAGGUGAAAAGCACCCCGGGAGGGGAGUGAAACAGAACCUGAAACCGUGUGCCUACAAGCAGUCGGAGUCCCUGUAAGGGAUGACGGCGUGCCUUUUGUAGAAUGAACCGGCGAGUGACGGUGGCGUGCAAGGUUAAGGCGAGAAGCUGGAGCCGCAGCGAAAGCGAGUCUGAACAGGGCGUCUUUAGUACGUCGUCGUCGACCCGAAACCGGGUGAUCUACCCAUGUCCAGGGUGAAGCUGAGGUAAAACUUAGUGGAGGCCCGAACCCACUGGUGUUGAAAAACCAGGGGAUGAGGUGUGGGUAGGGGUGAAAUGCCAAUCGAACCCGGAGAUAGCUGGUUCUCCCCGAAAUAGCUUUAGGGCUAGCCUCGGAUGAGAAAGUCGCGGAGGUAGAGCACUGAUUGGGCUAGGGGCCUGUCAAGGGUUACCGAACUCAGUCAAACUCCGAAUGCCGUCGACUUGUUAUCCGGGAGUCAGACUGCGAGUGCUAAGAUCCGUAGUCGAAAGGGAAACAGCCCAGACCACCAGCUAAGGUCCCUCAGUGCGUGUUAAGUGGGAAAGGAUGUGGAGUCGCAUAGACAACCAGGAUGUUGGCUUAGAAGCAGCCACCAUUGAAAGAGUGCGUAAUAGCUCACUGGUCCAGGGACUCUGCGCCGAAAAUGUAACGGGGCUAAACACGCCACCGAAGCUGUGGAUGUCUAUAGACAUGGUAGGGGAGCGUUCCCAGGGCAUCGAAGUCGCUUCGUGAGAAGCGGUGGAGCGCUGGGAAGUGAGAAUGCCGGUAUGAGUAACGAAAAGAGGGGUGAGAAUCCCCUCCGCCGUAAGCCUAAGGGUUCCUGAGGAAGGUUCGUCCGCUCAGGGUUAGUCGGGACCUAAGCCGAGGCAGAGAUGCGUAGGCGAUGGAUAACAGGUGGAUAUUCCUGUACCACCUUCCGCCGUUUGAGUGACGGGGGGACGCAGGAGGGUAGGAGAGCGCGCUGCCGGAUAUGCGCGUCCAAGCGGUGAGGCUGAAGGAAGAGGCAAAUCCCUUCCUUCAAGGCUGGGCCGUGAUGGCGAGGGAACGUAACAGUACCGAAGUCUUUGAUCUCACACUGCCAAGAAAAGCCUCUAGCGAGGCGGAAGGUGCCCGUACCGCAAACCGACACAGGUAGGCGAGGAGAGAAUCCUCAGGCGCGCGGGAAAACUCUCGUUAAGGAACUCGGCAAAAUGACCCCGUAACUUCGGGAGAAGGGGUGCCCCGGUAGGGUGGGUUUUACCUGCCCGAGGGGGCCGCAGUGAAGAGGCCCAAGCGACUGUUUAGCAAAAACACAGGUCUCUGCGAAGCCGCAAGGCGAAGUAUAGGGGCUGACGCCUGCCCGGUGCUGGAAGGUUAAGGGGAAGGGUUAUCCGGAAACGGAGAAGCUCUGAACCGAAGCCCCAGUAAACGGCGGCCGUAACUAUAACGGUCCUAAGGUAGCGAAAU
This 1988-nucleotide ribosomal RNA is filed under the name Fischerella thermalis CCMEE 5273. RNAcentral describes it as "bacterial LSU rRNA". It matches the Rfam family "Bacterial large subunit ribosomal RNA", at positions 1 to 1965 of the family's 2925-position model. Lineage: Bacteria; Bacillati; Cyanobacteriota; Cyanophyceae; Nostocales; Hapalosiphonaceae. The record is from RNAcentral.